This 403-nucleotide ribosomal RNA is filed under the name uncultured bacterium. RNAcentral describes it as "partial 16S ribosomal RNA". It matches the Rfam family "Bacterial small subunit ribosomal RNA", at positions 30 to 526 of the family's 1533-position model. The record is from RNAcentral.
AUUGAACGCUGGCGGCAGGCCUAACACAUGCAAGUCGAGCGAGCGGCGGACGGGUGAGUAAUGUAUGGGGACUGCCUGAUAGAGGGGGAUAACUACUGGAAACGGUGGCUAAUUCCGCAUACUAUCGGAUAACCCAUAUGGGAUUAGCUUGUAGGUGUGGUAACGGCUUACCUGGGCGACGAUCUCUAGCUGGUCUGAGAGGAUGAUCAGCUACACUGGGACUGAGACACGGCCCAGAGUCCUACGGAGGCAGGAGGGGGGAAUAUGGCACAAUGGGCGAAAGCCUGAUGCAGCCAUGCAGCGUGUAUGAAGAGGGCAUUAGGGGUGUAAAGUACUUACAGUCGGUCGGCGUUACGGGCAGAAGAAGCACCGGCUAACUCCGUGCCAGCAGCCGCGGUAAUUC